GAUUGAAAACCUGAAAGGGCGAUCCAGGCAAAAGUUAGAGACAUAAAAAUAAAUAUAUGUAUCCCGCUAGAUUGAGUACCUCACCCUGGGGCAAUCUAGGCAAAAAAUAGGGAUUUGGCAAGUAACUGCAUCCUGACAAGACUUUGUUCUAUGACUGUCAUUCGUCAGAGAUUCUCGCUCAUUCAUCAUCAACCAAAGCUUCAAAUACACCGGAUUCAGAAUUGGUGGAGAAAU
Molecule: long non-coding RNA, 234 nt
Filed under: Lathyrus oleraceus (garden pea)
Lineage: Eukaryota; Viridiplantae; Streptophyta; Magnoliopsida; Fabales; Fabaceae
Description: Pisum sativum (pea) long non-coding RNA (PSAT_LNC003895)
Source: RNAcentral